AAGAGUCAAGCCUGCCCAGUGAAAAAUUUAACGGCCGCGGUACUCUGACCGUGCGAAGGUAGCAUAAUCAUUUGCCUUUCAAUUGAAGGCUAGUAUGAAAGGUCUGACGAAAGCUAAGCUGUCUUUUAUUAAAUAAAAUGAAAUUGACUUUUAGGUGCAAAGGCCUAUAUUUAACUAAAAGACAAGAAGACCCUAUUGAGCUUUAAAACUUAAAAAGAGUAAAGCAUAUUGUAAUAAGAUUUUAAUUCUUUUAAACUUUUUAGUUGGGGCGACUUUGGAACAAUGGCAGCUUCCUAAAAUUAAAAAUACUUUUAGGUUUUGAUCCAAAAUAUUUUGAUUAAUAGAAUUAGUUACCAUAGGGAUAACAGCAUAAUUCUUCUUAAGAGUUCUAAUCGAAAGAAGGGAUUGUGACCUCGAUGUUGGACUAGAAUAUCCUAAAGGUGCAGAAGUUUUUGAAGGUUGGUCUGUUCG
RNAcentral lists this ribosomal RNA (471 nucleotides) under Marisa cornuarietis. RNAcentral describes it as "partial 16S ribosomal RNA". It matches the Rfam family "Bacterial large subunit ribosomal RNA", at positions 1848 to 2583 of the family's 2925-position model. Lineage: Eukaryota; Metazoa; Mollusca; Gastropoda; Architaenioglossa; Ampullariidae. The record is from RNAcentral.